CCUACGGGAGGCAGCAGUGGGGGAUAUUGGACAAUGGGGGGAACCCUGAUCCAGCGACGCCGCGUGAGUGAAGAAGUAUUUCGGGAUGUAAAGCUCUGUCAGCAGGGAAGAAAGAAAUGACGGUACCUGACCAAGCAGCCCGGGCUAACUACGUGCCAGCAGCCGCGGUAAUACGUAGGGGGCAAGCAUUAUCCGGAAUUACUGGGUGUAAAGGGGGGGUAGACGGUUAAGUAAGUCUGGAGUGAAAGGCCGGGGCCCAACCCCGGGACUGCACUGAAAACUAUUGAACUUGAGUGCAGGAGAGGUAAGCGGAAUUCCUAGUGUAGCGGUGAAAUGCGUAGAUAUUAGGAGGAACACCAGUGGCGAAGGCGGCUUACUGGACUGUAACUGACGUUGAGGCUCGAAAGCGUGGGGAGCAAACAGGAUUAGAUACCCCGGUAGUC
Molecule: ribosomal RNA, 443 nt
Filed under: uncultured bacterium
Lineage: Bacteria
Description: partial 16S ribosomal RNA
Rfam family: Bacterial small subunit ribosomal RNA
Source: RNAcentral